This 496-nucleotide ribosomal RNA is filed under the name uncultured bacterium. Its description in RNAcentral is "partial 16S ribosomal RNA". It matches the Rfam family "Bacterial small subunit ribosomal RNA", at positions 29 to 507 of the family's 1533-position model. The record is from RNAcentral.
AUGAACGCUGGCGGCGUGCCUAAUACCUGCAAGUCGAGCGAACGGACGAGAAGCUUGCUUUUCUGAUGUUAGCGGCGGACGGGUGAGUAACACGUGGAUAACCUACCUAUAAGACUGGGAUAACUUCGGGAAACCGGAGCUAAUACCGGAUAAUAUUUUGAACCGCAUGGUUCAAAAGUGAAAGACGGUCUUGCUGUCACUUAUAGAUGGAUCCGCGCUGCAUUAGCUAGUUGGUAAGGUAACGGCUUACCAAGGCAACGAUGCAUAGCCGACCUGAGAGGGUGAUCGGCCACACUGGAACUGAGACACGGUCCAGACUCCUACGGGAGGCAGCAGUAGGGAAUCUUCCGCAAUGGGCGAAAGCCUGACGGAGCAACGCCGCGUGAGUGAUGAAGGUCUUCGGAUCGUAAAACUCUGUUAUUAGGGAAGAACACAUGUGUAAGUAACUGUGCACAUCUUGACGGUACCUAAUCAGAAAGCCACGGCUAACUACGUG